This 488-nucleotide ribosomal RNA is filed under the name uncultured Glomus. RNAcentral's name for it is "SSU rRNA". It matches the Rfam family "Eukaryotic small subunit ribosomal RNA", at positions 569 to 1063 of the family's 1831-position model. The record is from RNAcentral. Lineage: Eukaryota; Fungi; Glomeromycota; Glomeromycetes; Glomerales; Glomeraceae.
AGCAGCCGCGGUAAUUCCAGCUCCAAUAGCGUAUAUUAAAGUUGUUGCAGUUAAAAAGCUCGUAGUUGAAUUUCGGGAUCAAAUUGUCGGUCGUGCCUCGGUACGUACUGGUAUUAUUGGUUCCUACCUUCUGAAGAACCGCGAUGUCAUUAAUUUGGUGUCGUGGGGAAUCAGGACUGUUACUUUGAAAAAUUAGAGUGUUUAAAGCAGGCUUACGCUUGAAUACAUUAGCAUGGAAUAAUGAAAUAGGACGUUUGAUUCUAUUUUGUUGGUUUCUAGGAUUGACGUAAUGAUUAAUAGGGAUAGUUGGGGGCAUUAGUAUUCAAUUGUCAGAGGUGAAAUUCUUGGAUUUACUGAAGACUAACUACUGCGAAAGCAUUUGCCAAGGAUGUUUUCAUUAAUCAAGAACGAAAGUUAGGGGAUCGAAGACGAUCAGAUACCGUCGUAGUCUUAACCAUAAACUAUGCCGACUAGGGAUCGGAUGAUGU